UUUUCUUGAAGCAUAUGUGAGAGGAA
This 26-nucleotide non-coding RNA is filed under the name Rattus norvegicus (Norway rat). Lineage: Eukaryota; Metazoa; Chordata; Mammalia; Rodentia; Muridae. The record is from RNAcentral.